AACGAACGCUGGCGGCAGGCCUAACACAUGCAAGUCGAGCGAGGACUUCGGUUCUAGCGGCGGACGGGUGAGUAACGCGUGGGAAUGUGCCCUUCUCUACGGAAUAGCCCUGGGAAACUGGGAGUAAUACCGUAUACGCCCUAUUGGGGAAAGAUUUAUCGGAGAAGGAUCAGCCCGCGUUGGAUUAGGUAGUUGGUGGGGUAAUGGCCUACCAAGCCGACGAUCCAUAGCUGGUUUGAGAGGAUGAUCAGCCACACUGGGACUGAGACACGGCCCAGACUCCUACGGGAGGGAGGAGUGGGGAAUCUUAGAAAAUGGGGGCAACCCUGAUCUAGCCAUGCCGCGUGAGUGAUGAAGGCCUUAGGGUUGUAAAGCUCUUUCAGCUGGGAAGAUAAUGACGGUACCAGCAGAAGAAGCCCCGGCUAACUCCGUG
Molecule: ribosomal RNA, 433 nt
Filed under: uncultured bacterium
Lineage: Bacteria
Description: partial 16S ribosomal RNA
Rfam family: Bacterial small subunit ribosomal RNA
Source: RNAcentral